UCAUGUUACAGCACAUUCCCGAUAGGAUUCAUCUGUGUGAAGAUGCCUUGUAACCAAAUUAUUGAAUGGGGGAAUUAUAUCGUG
Molecule: small RNA, 84 nt
Filed under: Liquorilactobacillus capillatus
Lineage: Bacteria; Bacillati; Bacillota; Bacilli; Lactobacillales; Lactobacillaceae
Also listed under: 1 other name
Description: Lactobacillus capillatus SAM-III sequence
Rfam family: SAM-III riboswitch aptamer (SMK box)
Source: RNAcentral